This 394-nucleotide non-coding RNA is filed under the name Acromyrmex echinatior (Panamanian leafcutter ant). RNAcentral's name for it is "Eukaryotic large subunit ribosomal RNA". It matches the Rfam family "Eukaryotic large subunit ribosomal RNA", at positions 845 to 1212 of the family's 3401-position model. The record is from Rfam by way of RNAcentral. Lineage: Eukaryota; Metazoa; Arthropoda; Insecta; Hymenoptera; Formicidae.
AAAAAAAAAAACUUUAUUACUGAUUCGCAAACGUAUGCUUUCAAAGUUCUUUUCUGACGUGCAAAUCUAUCGUCGGAACUGGAUAUAGGGGCGAAAGACUAAUCGAACCAUCUAGUAGUUGGUUACCUCCGAAGUUUCCCUCAGGAUAGCUGGUUCCGCACGGAACGCGCGCAAGUAUCAUCUGGUAAAGCGAAUAAUUAAAGGUCUUGGGUCCGAAACGACCUCAACCUAUUUUCAAACUUUAAAAUGGUGAAACCUCUAACUUUUUUGAACUAUGAAGUCAUGAAUAUCUCGGAUCAGAAUGUCAAGUGGGCUAUUUUUGGUAAGCAGAACUGGCGCUGUGGAAUGAACCAAACGCAGAUUUAAGGCGCCCAACUCGAUGCUUAUGGGACAC